Lotus japonicus is the source of this 1441-nucleotide long non-coding RNA. RefSeq lists it as uncharacterized. Lineage: Eukaryota; Viridiplantae; Streptophyta; Magnoliopsida; Fabales; Fabaceae. The record is from RefSeq and is a predicted model, not a curated record. The transcript has 4 exons.
UUGUCUCCCCCCACGACUGGCAAAGGCCGCAGGCAAGUGUCGCUGAGCGGCUAGGGAGUCAAGCGAAGCGAAGGAGGAACCAUGGCUGCGAGGGCUUUCUAUGAUGAUCUUACCAGCAAAGGAGAUAAUCAGCUCAAAUCGCUGUUGUGGUUCUUGAUGCACUCACAAGGUUCGUUCAACCUUUUCAGAUAUAUCAUAUAUGCCUUUAUCAUCAAUCAUAGUUACUCAUUUUUGUUGAAUUGACAAAUUGGGACACUCUAACACAUGACUGAAAUCUGAUAAAACAUUCUAUAAGUUUCGACAAUAGUUAUAGACAGUCCAUGUUUGUGGAUAUAAUAAGCUGAUUUUGCUCGGGGAAGUACUGGACAGUGGACAUUGGUUGGAGCUACAAGCCUUUAAUGGACCAAAUCAGUUGGGUAUAAGACUUGCCUGUUCCAGAAUUUGGCAGUCUUCAAGCAUGGGAAACUCGAGCUAGUGCUGCAGCACGCGCAGCUAAUGGAGAUAUCAAUGGCGGUGAUUCUAAAAAUUCUCAACUGGGAUAUAAUGGAGCUCCAAUGCCUCACAGUGGCGGGGAUACUUAGGUUGUAGUUGAUUUCAAUGGUACCGAAGUCAAGAGAGAGCGUGUUAAGUCUGGAGCUGAUAGUACAUCUUUAAAGGUUUUGCCUCCAUGGAUGAUUACGCCAGGGAUGAAUCUUACAAAGGAGCAACGUGGAGAGGUGAAGCAGGAAAUGAAGAUGGAUGGGACUUCAACUUCAACAGCCACCGCAGUACACGGAUGAUAAGAAAUCUACAAUUGGGAUGAGUAUAUGAAGGCUUAUUAUGCUGCUUUCCUUAAGCAACAACAUGAAUUGGAAGAAGUUGCAAAAAAAACAACUAUCAGUUGAUACACUGGCUACAUAUGAUCCUUCUAGCAGUACUUCCCGUCGCCAGGUUGGCAUGAAAUCAAAAUGUGAGAAAAAUGACGAUGGUACUGAGUGGGAAGAGGCUCCGCUGGGAGGCAAUGGAAAUGUAGGUUACAAGGUGGAUUUGAAUGUUGAAGCUGAUGAUGUUCCAGCAGAUGAUGAUGGCGAAGAUGACGAUGUUGACUGGGAGGAAGGUUGAUGAAAAAAAUUAUCUGGUCAGUGUGAAUGCAAGGACUUAUUUCUGAUUUGCUGCAAGUGCAUGUGUUAUUAUGAUAAAAUAAUAAAACAGCCUCAAAUUAUGUAUCACAAGAACAGAGUUUACUGCUCAUUAUAUUAUUGCUUGUGCAUGUUGCUGUGGUGAUGGGUCCAUGGGUUAAAAGGACGUGCACAGCUGACUUUUUAACUUAUUAGUGUAUGCGUGGAUUUCCGUUGAAUGCAACGCUGAUCAGGUUUGAGUCAACAUGGGAAAAUCUCGCUUCUCUGCACGGGGAUGUGUUUUUCAGUGAACCAAACACACAGUUAAUCAUUAAAUUUUGGCA